UACGUAGGCAGCAACCGUUGUUCGGAAUUACUGGGCGUAAAGAGUGUGUAGGCGGUUUUGUUAGUUUGGUGUGAAAUCUCCCGGCUUAACUGGGAGGGUGCGCCGAAUACUGCAAAGCUUGAGUACUGGAGAGGAUAGCGGAAUUCCUGGUGUAGCGGUGAAAUGCGUAGAUAUCGUAAGGAAGACCAGUGGCGAAGGCGAGUCUCUGGACAGUUACUGACGCUGAGGCACGAAGGCCAGGGGAGCAAACGGG
This 253-nucleotide ribosomal RNA is filed under the name uncultured bacterium. RNAcentral's name for it is "partial 16S ribosomal RNA". It matches the Rfam family "Bacterial small subunit ribosomal RNA", at positions 524 to 776 of the family's 1533-position model. The record is from RNAcentral.